ACAGCAGCCGCCGCGGAAUACGGAGGGGGCUAGCGUUGUUCGGAAUUACCGGGCGUAAAGCGCACGUAGGCGGCUUGGUAAGUUAGAGGUGAAAGCCUGGAGCUCAACUCCAGAAUUGCCUUUAAGACUGCCGAGCUAGCAGGUGAGAGAGGUAAGUGGAAUUCCGAGUGUAGAGGUGAAAUUCGUAGAUAUUCGGAAGAACACCAGUGGCGAAGGCGGCUUACUGGCUCAUACUGGACGCUGAGGUGCGAAAGCGUGGGGAGCAAACAGGAUUAGAUACCCCGGUAGUCCCUGUCUCUUAUACA
This 305-nucleotide ribosomal RNA is filed under the name uncultured bacterium. RNAcentral describes it as "partial 16S ribosomal RNA". It matches the Rfam family "Bacterial small subunit ribosomal RNA", at positions 508 to 808 of the family's 1533-position model. The record is from RNAcentral.